AAUGGUGUAAAGGAUGACUAAGCUUUUUUCCCCAGCAGAUCGACACUGUUGACUGAUCUAUAUUUAAGCCAAACUUUCUGAUGCACCAUU
Ictalurus punctatus (channel catfish) is the source of this 90-nucleotide small nucleolar RNA. Ensembl annotates it as Small nucleolar SNORD12/SNORD106. The record is from Ensembl. Lineage: Eukaryota; Metazoa; Chordata; Actinopteri; Siluriformes; Ictaluridae.